UUGUGGAGGAGGACGCCGAAGGUGGGGCUAAUGACUGGGGUGAAGUCGUAACAAGGUAGCCGUACCGGAAGGUGCGGCUGGAUCACCUCCUAACAGGGAGACAACAAAAUGUUUAAUAUUAUUAUUUUGUCACCUUAGGUCGAUCGGUAUCUCACAUUCUUAAUUUAUUAAGGAUUUCAUUUCCUAAGUUUUUCUAGGUCACACCCAUUAUUUUUCCUGGGCCAUUAGCUCAGGUGGUUAGAGCGCACCCCUGAUAAGGGUGAGGUCCCUGGUUCAAGUCCAGGAUGGCCCAUAUCUCUAUGUUGGGGGUAUAGCUCAGUUGGUAGAGCGCCUGCUUUGCAAGCAGGAUGUCAGCGGUUCGAGUCCGCUUACCUCCACUGAUUACCACCUCUUACAUAAUCUGAUGAAGGAAAUGUUUUGAGUUGUGAUCAAAUUCUGAACGAUUCUAGCUUCCUAAUGAAACCAUUAAGAUGCUGGACUCAUUGAAUUAAUUUCAUUGUUUUCAGAGAACCUUGACAACUGCAUAGAUUAUUUUUAAAGACAAUAAGCAUCUUUUAUGAUGCAGAUUUAUUAUUUGUGCGAAUGCAUUAAUAACAAUUCUAUUAAGCUGAUGCUUCAAUUUUUGAAGUUAUUGGUCAAGCUACAA
RNAcentral lists this unclassified non-coding RNA (646 nucleotides) under uncultured Prochlorococcus sp. Its description in RNAcentral is "partial 16S-23S ribosomal RNA intergenic spacer; may also contain 16S ribosomal RNA and 23S ribosomal RNA". The stretch from base 305 to 377 matches the Rfam family "tRNA". The record is from RNAcentral. Lineage: Bacteria; Bacillati; Cyanobacteriota; Cyanophyceae; Synechococcales; Prochlorococcaceae.